GGGGGCAUAGUUCAGUGGUAGAAUGACUCUCUCCAAAAGAGAAGACCAGGGUUCGAUUCCUUGUGCCCCCGCCA
Molecule: transfer RNA, 74 nt
Filed under: Candidatus Harrisonbacteria bacterium RIFCSPLOWO2_02_FULL_45_10c
Lineage: Bacteria; Candidatus Harrisoniibacteriota
Description: tRNA-Trp
Rfam family: tRNA
About the family: Transfer RNA (tRNA) molecules are approximately 80 nucleotides in length. Their secondary structure includes four short double-helical elements and three loops (D, anti-codon, and T loops).
Source: RNAcentral